This 406-nucleotide ribosomal RNA is filed under the name uncultured bacterium. Its description in RNAcentral is "partial 16S ribosomal RNA". It matches the Rfam family "Bacterial small subunit ribosomal RNA", at positions 29 to 526 of the family's 1533-position model. The record is from RNAcentral.
AAUGAACGCUGGCGGCAGGCCUAACACAUGCAAGUCGAACGAGUAGCGGCCGGGUGGGUAAUGUCUGGGAAACAGCCUGCAGGAGGGGGAUAACUACUGGAAACGGUAGCUGAUAACGCAUAUCAUCAGAUGUGCCCAAAUGGGAUUAGCCUGUUGGUGGGGUAACGGCUGAAAAGGGCGACGAUCCCUCGCUGGUCUGCGAGGAUGACCAGCCAAACGGGAACUGAGACACGGCCCAGACUCCUACGGGAGGCAGCGGUGGGGAAUCUUGCAGAAUGGGCGCAAGCCUGAUGAAGCCAUGCCGCGUGUAUGAAGAAGGCCUUCGGGUUGUAAAGUACUUUCAGCGGGGAGGCGUUACCCGCAGAAGAAGCACCGGCUAACUCCGUGCCAGCAGCCGCGGUAAUUC